This 1151-nucleotide long non-coding RNA is filed under the name Struthio camelus australis. RNAcentral's name for it is "lncRNA (ENSSCUG00000018567.1)". Lineage: Eukaryota; Metazoa; Chordata; Aves; Struthioniformes; Struthionidae. The record is from RNAcentral.
UCCCCCGCCUGUGAGUGGGGGCCCGCCCCGCCCCCCCGCCCCCCGGCGCGGCGGGGGUGGCGGUUUAACGCCCGCCUGUGCGGCAGCCUGCUGCCUCAGGGCGUUGUUAGCCCCGGCGUCCGCUGUCAGAUGCCGCUUCAGACGCUGAAAAUCCACCCGCCUUUCGCUGUCUGGGCGGAGGAGGGUCAACAGAAAGUCGUCGUCCCUCGGUCGCUUUUGAACGCCGGUUUCAGAACAACUGUGUAUCAAAUAAAGAAUAAUUUUUCCUCGGCCAAGCUCCCUCGGCGGCUGUCGGAGAUGCGCUUCAUCCGCGGCCUCCUGCGGCAGCUGGGCCUUGCUGCCUGAUGGUUAUUAAGAGUAGAAAAUAACAUCAAGAAACUGCUCAGGAUCCGUGCGGGUCCCAUGAGACGCUCCGCCAACAUGUGGCAAGAAAUAGCUGUGGUCCCACUCGAUUUAUUCCUCCUGAUGGGAGGCUAAGGGGGGGGGAAGCCAGCGGCAGCGCUCAGAGGAGGUACGUGCAGCACCGCCUGCGACUACGCUGUCUUGUGGUGGAUGUGAGAAGAGACACUUCAGGCUGCUUUCAGCUGCAUCCCUCUGACAACAAGCCUCCUGUAGGUAUCCCAUUAACCCAUACUAUUUGUUUCAAGUGCCUUUCCAAAAUAACUUACCCCAGGUAUUUAUUAUCCUUACCAGUUGGCUUCUGGGACCUGAACGACAAUAGGCAGCUCAGAGUAAUGGCAUUUGUUAUUUUCCUUGCCUCUUUAGCAGAGUCCAGGCUUCACAGUGUCAAAAUAAUUUGAAUAUUAUCGUCCUGCGGAAAGGUUAAAUCAACAGAAUCUGCUGUGGGCUUUCACUAAGCCAAUCAAGUGAAGUAAGAGGGCAUAGUCUUGUUUUAAAGCAUCAGUUAAUUAAUCCCUAUGUGCUGAGAAGCUCUCUCUGCUGACACGGUGCCAACCUGCAUCAGGCUGGGCCCAGGGCACAGCAGGAUGCUGCUGCCGUGCUUUGCUCUCUAAGGCUUUUUCCUCUGUUGCCAGUGGCAGAAGCGCAUGCGGCGUUGCGCUCAUGCGCUCAUGACCACGCUCAGGCCUGAAGGUCAUUUUAAAAUAGUAUUUUAAAAUAAAAGUUGGAAGUGUAAUAUCUUUUCUGUAUGU